AUCGAUCCACCUUGGAAUUUCUUCAAGCCGCCUGGUAGAAACUCGACAGCUUUGUCACACAGUUCCAAGCUCAAACAAAUCUUAUUUCUGAGAAAAUUGUCGGAGGCACAUAUGGAAUGAAGUCAACAGGAAAAAAGGCAGUACUUCUCCGGCUGCGGACUCUUUUUGUCAAAAACCUUAUUUUCAAGUUACAGCCUUUUUUGUACAAAAAAGUACUUAAAGGGAAAAUAACUUUUUAGCUGCAUCCAUUUUUUAUUUAGCUAUGCAGAAAAGCAACUACUAUUAAUCCUAAUGUUCUAAGCAGUAUGUUCUUUUGAGAAUUGAGACUGAAGUUGAUACUAUUAUCCACAUAACUUUUAAGCAGUAUAUUCAUUUGAGAACUGAGACAUCUAAUAAUGGCUCGAAACAAAAAAUCAGAAACUCAAGACUUAGUUAUGGUAGCUAUAAAGUUUAGUAAGGUUAUAUUGAUCUGUUGGGCUUUGUUGAAUGGAAAAUAUGCUUUGAGUCUUAGCUAUAAGCUAUGUUCUUAAAAACUUUUCUAGAACUGAUGAUGCUGGUUAAGCUAAAUCUUGGCUGUGUUAUCAAGUUGACAGAAGUUUCGGUGAAGCUCAAGCAACUGUUCUUAUGAAUCUGUUGUAUCACUUCAGAGGUUUUAUUCCGUAUGGAUCAAAAGAAUAUA
Durio zibethinus is the source of this 679-nucleotide long non-coding RNA. RefSeq lists it as uncharacterized. The record is from RefSeq and is a predicted model, not a curated record. Lineage: Eukaryota; Viridiplantae; Streptophyta; Magnoliopsida; Malvales; Malvaceae.